RNAcentral lists this ribosomal RNA (552 nucleotides) under Trichophyton benhamiae. Its description in RNAcentral is "eukaryotic LSU rRNA". The stretch from base 202 to 355 matches the Rfam family "5.8S ribosomal RNA". Lineage: Eukaryota; Fungi; Ascomycota; Eurotiomycetes; Onygenales; Arthrodermataceae. The record is from RNAcentral.
UCAGGGGUGUGCAGAUGUGCGCCGGCCUUACGCCCCAUUCUUGUCUACCUUACUCGGUUGCCUCGGCGGGCCGCGCUCUCCUGGGAGAGUCGUCCGGCGAGCCUCUUUGGGGGCUUUAGCUGGAUCGCGCCCGCCGGAGGACAGACAUCAAAAAAUCUUGGAAAGCUGUCAGUCUGAGCGUUAGCAAGUAAAAUUAGUUAAAACUUUCAACAACGGAUCUCUUGGUUCCGGCAUCGAUGAAGAACGCAGCGAAAUGCGAUAAGUAAUGUGAAUUGCAGAAUUCCGUGAAUCAUCGAAUCUUUGAACGCACAUUGCGCCCUCUGGUAUUCCGGGGGGCAUGCCUGUUCGAGCGUCAUUUCAACCCCUCAAGCCCGGCUUGUGUGAUGGACGACCGUCCGACCUCCUCUUUCGGGGGCGGGACGCGCCCGAAAAGCAGUGGCCAGGCCGCGAUUCCGGCUUCCUGGGCGAAUGGGCAGUCAAACCAGCGCCCUCAGGACCGGCCGCUCUGGCCUUCCCCCAAAUCUCUCUGAGAUAUUUUUUCAGGUUGACCUC